RNAcentral lists this ribosomal RNA (468 nucleotides) under uncultured bacterium. Its description in RNAcentral is "partial 16S ribosomal RNA". It matches the Rfam family "Bacterial small subunit ribosomal RNA", at positions 28 to 507 of the family's 1533-position model. The record is from RNAcentral.
GACGAACGCUGGCGGCGUGCUUAACACAUGCAAGUCGAACGGAAAGGCCCUGCUUUUGUGGGGUGCUCGAGUGGCGAACGGGUGAGUAACACGUGAGUAACCUGCCCUUGACUUUGGGAUAACUUCAGGAAACUGGGGCUAAUACCGGAUAGGAGCUCCUGCUGCAUGGUGGGGGUUGGAAAGUUUCGGCGGUUGGGGAUGGACUCGCGGCUUAUCAGCUUGUUGGUGGGGUAGUGGCUUACCAAGGCUUUGACGGGUAGCCGGCCUGUGAGGGUGACCGGCGACAUUGGGACUGAGAUACGGCCCAGACUCCAACGGGAGGCAGCAGUGGGGAAUAUUGCACAAUGGGCGGAAGCCUGAUGCAGAAACGCCGCGUGCGGGAUGACGGCCUUCGGGUUGUAAACCGCUUUCGCCUGUGACGAAGCGUGAGUGACGGUAAUGGGUAAAGAAGCACCGGCUAACUACGUG